GUGAAGGCAGGCAAGGGGGCUGGAGGAAAAGGAAGGGUGGGUUCAGGAAGCACUGAGAAGGCGAGCUGACCUGGAUGACAGAUGGAUGGGGCAGUGGAGAGGGGGGCUUUUCUGGAGGCAGAACUCAGAAGGAGUUUGGGGUGCAAGAUGCUUGUUAGGGGCCAACCUCUGUGGAAAGCUGAGGGAGGCUGCAGGAUGGCCAGAGGGGAGAAGUGGGACUGUGUGAAGCCUCACACACCCCAGCCUGGGGGGAGCCCCCCUUCAGUGUCCCCCUUGUUCCCUCGUCCCUCUCUCCUCACUCUCUCAGCUGCCCCAGAAGCAUGGCCUCCAGCCAAGCAGCCCCUGCAGCUCAGCCAAAGGAGUGGGCCAUGGAGAGGGCCUGCAGCCGCACUCCGCAGGGGCAGGAGGCCUCUGUGGAGGAGCUCAGGCAGGGCCCUCUGCAUCUCCCGCGUAGAGGGGUGCAGAGCAAAGGCCCUCUUCUGACUUGGACGGUGAGGCUGAGUGAGUCUCAUCCGUCAGGAUGAGGAGCAUAGGUGGCCGGAGGGGAGAGGAGGGUUCUGAAGGCAGGUGAGCGCUGGCACAUCCACGGAGAGCUGUCCAGUGCUGAGGGGCAGGCAGGGCUGGAGUUUGGAACCUGAAAGUCAUCGGGUGCCUGUGACGUUGAGCCAUUCAGUGGCUGGUGCACACUUAGGAAGGAAGAGCCAGCAACAGGGACGGAUCCCUAGGACACGCCAGACCUCCCAGACGGGAGCUAAGAAGAGCUGGUCAGGAGUGGGAGGACACAUACGGAAACCUGGUCUGGUGGAUGCCGUGUGUCUUAGUCAGCUCAGGCAGCUUUAACACGACACCACAAUGGGCAGCUUUAACAACAGACAACUAUUUCUCACAGUGCUGGAGACUGGAAGUCCUUGAUCAAGGCUCCAGAAGAUUUGAUGUCUGGUGAGAACUGACUUCCUAGUUCAUGGAUGUGGCCUCACAUGGUUGAAGGAGUGGGGAGCUCUCUGGGGUCCCUUUUAUAAGGGUCUUAAUCCCAUUUAUGAAUGCUCAUCUUCAUGACCUGCUCACCUCCUAAAGGACCCCCCUCCAAAUACCAACACAUUGGGGGUUAGGUUUCAGCAUAAGAAUUUUGGGGGACAAACGUUUGUUUCAAGAGAAAGUCAGUGACAGUUAACAAGGGCAGUGGUGGCAAUCAUAAUACUUUGAUUGACCAUCUUCAUGUGCCAAACAAUGCACACCCAUCAUUCCCGCAGAUCCCAUGACCUGGGAGAUGGAGUUUACAGCCCGUUCUGCCCAGAAAGAAACCAAGGAUCAGAGGGCUUACAAAAGGUGCCAGGGCCACACAGGGUUAGUAACUGGCUGGGCUGUCUGACUCCGAAUCCACGUUUAUGACCACGGCAUCACCCAGCUCAGAGAGCUUAAGUCAGGAACACACUGAGAAUCACCUUUGGAGGCGGUGAUUAUCCAUCACUACACCUUAGCAGCGAGAAUGGAGAGGGAACCACUUAGGUCACAGGAUGGCCUCAACCAAAUGAGAAAAUGGAUGAAAAAGUCAUGCUUUCCAGAAGUUGGAAUGAAAUGAAAGAGAAGAUGCAGGGUGAUGGCUGGAAGCACAGCACAGGAGAGAGCAGGUGAUGGAAGGCGAGGGUGUUUAGGGUAAGACGGAGAACAGAACGGGAGAAACAGAGAUCCAGGAAAGAGGGAGGGUCGAGUAUGGGUGGAGCUACUGCCCUGGAGCGAGGUGGAGACAGGGAGGAAUUGGGGAGCAGAUCAUUUGGGGUUGGACAGGAAACAGGCGGUUCCAGGAAAGAGACCUUAAUGAACAAACACGUUCAGAGAUGGGGUUAAGGGAUUCCAAAGGCUGGUGACACACAGGGAUUCCUAACAGCCAGAAGCCAUUCCCACACUUAGGGCUGAAGGCAGUUGAAUCUGGGGAGCCGGUGGAAUUCCAGCUGGAGUCUUGGAAUGGGGGCUGCCAGGGACAGCUGUAGUCUGGGAGGAACAAAGUUGCUGACAGAGAAGUAGAACCAGUGAUGAAGAGGGAAAGGGAAGAAAUACCCCAGCUUCUCUCUCCCCGCUCUCUGAUCUCCUACUUGUGCCUCCCAUGGGCCAAACCGAUGGGAAGCCAGAGGUCCAGGGAGCCUGGUGAUGAGGAGGGAGGGGGCAGCCUCCCAGGCACAGAGCCGGUUGGGCAAGGUUGUGCUUAAAAAGUGAGAGGGGUCCACUUAAGUAAGGAAUUUGAGUUGAGGGGGAAUGUUUAGAAUGCCUGCCAAGGGGAAAAGAGGAUGCUGCUGACGAGCAAGGAAGUGCAAAGGCAUUGGCAUUAUGAACCCACCACGACUCUGUGCGGCCCUGGAGAGCACAGGUGUGUUUCUCUAGGAGUGUUCAUCAGACUACUUAUGAGCUGGCGGAAAGUGAAUUAUUAGGUGGAGGGUUCAUGGGAGGCUGCAGGCAGGGGAGGGAAGAGGAGAAGGGGCCCAACAGGAGCAGGUGAUGGGCUGUGGGGAGAGGAACGGCAGAGAUGGAAGUGGCUGCUGAAGGAGGAUCAGAUGUGGGCGUGGAGGUCUUGAGGUCCUGGGGAGGUGGCAGCCUGAAUCGUUUGGGAUGCACAUUCAAGGGAAAUGGCAGGGAAGGCCCCUGAUGGUGUCCCCGAGGCAUAGGUGGGGAGGGGGGCCUCAGUUUCACUGAAGCCAGAGAUUGGGUCAUCCUAGCAGGAGGCUGGGGAUGGAAGGGAGCUCAUUAGCCACGACAACGUGGGAAGGAGUGAGCUAGCCGGGCAUAGAAAAAGAGAGAAUGAGAGCACAGGACAUUUAGAAGGGAAGAAACAGGAGCCACACCCUACAGCUGAUGUGGAGAGAGAGGAUGGUCACUCAAGGGCCUGGACUCUUGGCUGGCUGGGGGCCUGUACUUCUGCCUUCAUUCUCACUGACUGGCUCCAAACCAAAAGUGGUGAGAUUUCCGCCAACUCGAUGCGGGCGUCUGCCUGUGGGCUUGAACCUAUGAGACCUUCACCCCCGCCUUUGUGUCAGACGGAGACCCCGUACUGAGGCUCACACUCGUCCUGCUGGACUCACACACAGAGGCAUCAAUAUGCAGGCGGCUGGUACCCAGAAGGGCCUUUGCUGUCUCAGAGGCACUUAGCGAGGCUGAGACCACAAAACCUGUAUGUUUUCGAAUGCAGCUACCAGCAGCCAUGCUGUGCGCAGUGGUUCUCAGAUUCGAGGACCCCUGGCGGACUUGUCAUAACACAGAUCGCUGGCUCCACCUGGAGUUUCUGACUCAGUGGAUGUGGGCGGCUCCCGGGUGGCCACGAUGCUGCCCAGUUGUAGACACAGCCUGCUGACCACUCGGCAGCUGUGCCAGCUGAUGAUCCCACCCUGAAAACUAAACGCUGGACACGCUCCCACUGCAAGACACAACAGACUGAAAUGGUUCCAUCUGCUGCUACCUGGGGACAGCCAGAUGGUUGACCUCAAGAGGUGAGAGGGCUGGGAGACAAAAUCCUGGCAAAUUCCCAGCACAGUGUCUUCGUGGGGCUCAGGAGAAGCCUUGGAGAACUUCGCAGCAUGACAUCCCUUUUCAGUGGAGUUCCCGAUGCUGGCUGCAGACACUGGAAACCCCAAGAACCUCCUACUCAAGGAAGUCGGACGUUUAAACCAAGAACCCCAAAAUAAU
RNAcentral lists this long non-coding RNA (3672 nucleotides) under Equus caballus (horse). RNAcentral's name for it is "lncRNA (ENSECAG00000053572.1)". The record is from RNAcentral. Lineage: Eukaryota; Metazoa; Chordata; Mammalia; Perissodactyla; Equidae.